Molecule: non-coding RNA, 1898 nt
Organism: Paramuricea clavata
Lineage: Eukaryota; Metazoa; Cnidaria; Anthozoa; Malacalcyonacea; Plexauridae
Source: the annotation of a GenBank genome assembly
CGAGUUUGUAUAUCAGAUAAAGAUCGGCUGCUCAUAUCAGAUUAACUAGUACUUGAAACGUUGUAAACAAACCUGAAAACCUACCAUUGAUCAUUGAAAAAUUAUAUACAUUUUUAUUACUUUCUGAUCUGACUUACAGACUUGGAAGAGAGAUGCAAGUUGGCUUCACUGUAUAGACUUUCUAAAAGAAGAAGACUUACCCUAUAGUAAACGCUACAGAUAUGAAGUGAAAUGGAGUAUUCCUACAAGAAGGAAACCAAUACCUCGUGCUACAGCAUCAACGUACUUUACGCUGAAUGUUAGUAAAGUUAGACCAAAGGUAACAUGUUGUCAUUAAGUUCGUUAUGUUUUCUCUGUUUUUGUGUGUAUAUUUGUGUUAUUAUAUUUAAUAUAUAGCUUGUAAAUACUGUAAUAAACGGCCUCUUGAAAAACAUGUGCCUACGAGCCCUGAAGAGCUACCGUUUUAAAAUAUUUUUUAAUAAUAAUAAUAAUAAUAAUAAUAAUAAUAAUACGUGCAUGACAAUCACACUCAAGCUCGACAUAAGUGCCGAGCCGUUACAAGUCUCGCUCACUCUUCGUUUCAAAUCAUGACCUGAUCUCGUAUUACACUGGAUAGACCUUAUCAAAAAAUCCAUUUCGAACGAGACUUGGAUCAAAUCAAGUCAUAUACAUGAACCUGCAUAUUUAUGUUCAGCGCCUUCAACUACCGGCCAUUCAUUCAUUCGUUCGUUUAUCAAUUCAUGAAGAAAUUUGCCUAACAUUGUUUACAUCGUUGCUAUACCCAAUUCAGAACUUUAAAUUACUCGCAUGCCUAAUUAUACAAUUGUUCUACAGGGUGUUAGCCAGAAAAACAAAAUUCGGCAAUUUAAUAAAAUAUUGUGAAAUUCAGUUAGCCCGCGACAUUCAGAAUUGAGUUUAAGAAAUAUCUCCUUGUUCCCUUAUUGCUAAUUGACGCUGGUCUGCAUGAAUGCGACGUCGCGUCGCUUACAUGCAAGUGCCUCAUGGCCAAGCGCAAGACGCUGAUUGGGCACAUUUGCUGAUCUAUUAAAAUUGAUACCUUUGAAGUGCAACAACUGUCAUUGUAGUGCAUAGUAAAAACAGAUAAAUAUAAUUAUUUUAGGCUUAGGCCGACUAUAGAUGACAUCCUCACAACACUGAUAUGGUUCCCACUUCUUCUUGAGCAAAGUUCUAUUGAAGUUGAACAAUCUUCUAUUUUUAAUUGUUUCUCAUAAAGUUAUACUGUAUGUUAGUUUUGGCAGACCUAAAUUGGGAAAUUGGAAAAACAGCGUAUAACGCCGAAUUUUUUACUGUUUUAAUUUACAAGCCAAAUUUGUCUAUUCGUGAAUUUAUUGAGUCAUUCUUUUUUGAAAUCCAUAUUAAUUGUAAUGGUGAUGAUAGUUAUGAAGGAUUUUUUUCGGCAGAUUAUUUUGAGUUGAAUUCGAAAUCUUUCCAUACUGUAGGUUGACGCACGGAUAUUUCGUGAAAGGGCUAUUAAAGGCGUAAGCAGUGAACUCAGUUUAUUUUUACUUUACCGGUUUUAUUUAUUUUUACUUUUUAUUUUUUUAUUGAUAAAAGACAUGCAUGGAGUUCACUUGGCGUAUGUGGCGAAGACUGCAUGCAUGGGUGUGCGCAUGCCCCUGGACCCACAUCUAUCAUUGUGUGUAGAGUCAAGCUUUUAUUUUUUCGUUUUUAAUUCAGAACUAUCCAAUUGAGGUUUAUUAUGUGUUUGAAGGCCACCAAUUUGUGCACAGGUAAGCACCACAUGUCCGGAUUUUGAAGGGAGGUGUGGGGAGGUCGCACCUGGGGAGGUGCGCACCUCCCCUGAGAUCGUUCUGCACCUCCCCUGAGAAUUUUUGCACCCCCCUGAAAAGUGACGCACCCCCCUUGGGAAAGCUUCA